This 591-nucleotide ribosomal RNA is filed under the name Sarcosomataceae sp. GSL5_6_3. RNAcentral describes it as "eukaryotic LSU rRNA". The stretch from base 203 to 356 matches the Rfam family "5.8S ribosomal RNA". Lineage: Eukaryota; Fungi; Ascomycota; Pezizomycetes; Pezizales; Sarcosomataceae. The record is from RNAcentral.
AAGCCAUUGAAGACAGCCCCGUGGUCGCGAAUUUCAUUACCAUCCCUUCUGUGCACAUCCUCAUGUUGCUUCCGUGCGUCUGCAAUCCCUUACACCGGGAUGCCUGAAAAGCCUCACUUACCCUGAGGACGCACGGGAAUGAACACCACGCUCUGGUUUCUGUAUUUAUAGUCUGAGUGGUUACCACAUCAUAACAAAUUAAAACUUUCAACAACGGAUCUCUUGGUUCUCGCAUCGAUGAAGAACGCAGCGAAAUGCGAUAAGUAGUGUGAAUUGCAGAAUUCAGUGAAUCAUCGAAUCUUUGAACGCACAUUGCGCCUCCUGGUAUUCCGGGAGGCAUGCCUGUUCGAGCGUCAUUAAAAGCAGCCUCAAGCAUUGUUGCUUGGUCAUGGAGGAAGAUAGUUACUGUCCCCUCUGGAAUCUCUCAGUAGACAACUCCCAAUGAGCGUAGACGUAAUAUAAUUGAUAUUCGUUUAAUGCUCCCUGGGUUGCCAGGCUGUGUAGAGCUCCCCCCAGCAAGUACUUGGUACUUCAAAGCUUGACCUCGGAUCAGGUAGGGAUACCCGCUGAACUUAAGAUAUAGAAGGGGGG